This is a non-coding RNA of Coniochaeta sp. 2T2.1, 96 nucleotides long. NCBI's taxonomy places the organism in Eukaryota, Fungi, Ascomycota, Sordariomycetes, Coniochaetales, Coniochaetaceae. The record is from the annotation of a GenBank genome assembly.
UUCUCCUUAGCUCAGUUGGCUAGAGCGUUCGACUGUUAUCUUUCACCACGAGAAAAGCACAUCGAGAGGUCCACAGUUCAAGCCUGUGAGGGGAAG